AGUGAACGCUGGCGGUAGGCCUAACACAUGCAAGUCGAACGGCAGCACAGUAAGAGCUUGCUCUUACGGGUGGCGAGUGGCGGACGGGUGAGGAAUACAUCGGAAUCUAUUUUUUCGUGGGGGAUAACGUAGGGAAACUUACGCUAAUACCGCAUACGACCUACGGGUGAAAGCAGGGGAUCUUCGGACCUUGCGCGAUUGAAUGAGCCGAUGUCGGAUUAGCUAGUUGGCGGGGUAAAGGCCCACCAAGGCGACGAUCCGUAGCUGGUCUGAGAGGAUGAUCAGCCACACUGGAACUGAGACACGGUCCAGACUCCUACGGGAGGCAGCAGUGGGGAAUAUUGGACAAAGGGCGCAAGCCUGAUCCAGCCAUACCGCGUGGGUGAAGAAGGCCUUCGGGUUGUAAAGCCCUUUUGUUGGGAAAGGAAAGCAGCAGGUUAAUACCCCGCUGUUCUGACGGUACCCAAAGAAUAAGCACCGGCUAACUUCGUG
Molecule: ribosomal RNA, 492 nt
Filed under: uncultured bacterium
Lineage: Bacteria
Description: partial 16S ribosomal RNA
Rfam family: Bacterial small subunit ribosomal RNA
Source: RNAcentral